UACGUAGGGUGCAAGCGUUGUCCGGAAUUAUUGGGCGUAAAGAGCUCGUAGGCGGCUUGUCGCGUCUGCUGUGAAAUCCCGAGGCUCAACCUCGGGCCUGCAGUGGGUACGGGCAGGCUAGAGUGCGGUAGGGGAGAUUGGAAUUCCUGGUGUAGCGGUGGAAUGCGCAGAUAUCAGGAGGAACACCGAUGGCGAAGGCAGAUCUCUGGGCCUUAGACUGACGCUGAGGUGCGAAAGCGUGGGGAGCGAACAGG
Molecule: ribosomal RNA, 254 nt
Filed under: uncultured Microbacteriaceae bacterium
Lineage: Bacteria; Bacillati; Actinomycetota; Actinomycetes; Micrococcales; Microbacteriaceae
Description: partial 16S ribosomal RNA
Rfam family: Bacterial small subunit ribosomal RNA
Source: RNAcentral